RNA transcript from Phacochoerus africanus (Common warthog), 2404 nucleotides. It is a transcript of the gene named growth arrest specific 8, with no coding region annotated. The transcript has 12 exons. The record is from RefSeq and is a predicted model, not a curated record. NCBI's taxonomy places the organism in Eukaryota, Metazoa, Chordata, Mammalia, Artiodactyla, Suidae.
UCUCGCGAGGAUCCUCGGACUUCGCGCGGGACCUCGAAGCGGUUGUCUGGAGACCGCGCAGCCUCUGGCAGCGCCGCGGACGCGUUUGGUUGCGGGGCGCGGCGGGCUGCGCUAACCCGAGCCAUGGCGCCCAAACGGAAAGGGAAGAAAGGGAAGGCCAGAGGCACCCCGACUGUUGACGGGCUUGCUCCGGAGGACAUGAGCAAGGAGCAGGUGGAGGAGCACGUGGGCCGCAUCCGGGAGGAGCUGGACCGAGAGCGGGAGGAACGCAACUACUUCCAGCUGGAGCGGGACAAGAUCCACACUUUCUGGGAGAUCACGCGGCGGCAGCUGGAGGAGAAGAAGGCUGAGCUGCGGAACAAAGACCGGGAGAUGGAGGAGGCUGAGGAGAGGCACCAGGUGGAGAUCAAGGUCUAUAAGCAGAAGGUGAAGCACCUGCUGUACGAGCAUCAGAACAGCCUGACGGAGAUGAAGGCUGAGGGCACUGUGGUGAUGAAACUGGCCCAGAAGGAGCACCGCACACAGGAGGGGGCCCUGCGCCGGGACAUGCGGGCGCUGAAGGUGGAGCUGAAGGAGCAGGAGCUGGCCAACGAGGUGGUGGUGAAGAACCUGCGGCUGAAACACACCGAGGAAAUCACCAAGAUGCGGAAUGACUUUGAGAGGCAGGUGAGAGAAAUCGAGGCCAAGUACGACAAGAAGAUGAAGAUGCUUCGGGACGAGCUUGACCUGCGCAGGAAGACGGAGGUCCACGAGGUGGAGGAGCGCAAGAACAGCCAGAUCAGCGCGCUGAUGCAGCGGCACGAGGAGGCCUUCACGGACAUCAAGAACUACUACAACGACGUCACCCUCAACAACCUGGCGCUCAUCAACUCCCUCAAGGAGCAGAUGGAAGACAUGCGGAAGAGGGGCGAGGUCCUGGAGAAGGAGAUGGCGGAGGUGUCCUUGCAGAACCGGCGCCUGGCGGACCCGCUGCAGAAGGCGCGAGACGAGAUGAGCGACAUGCGCAAGAAGCUCAGCGGCUACGAGAGGGACAAGCACAUCCUGCUGGGCACGAAGGCGCGGCUGAAAGUUGCCGAGAAGGAGCUGAAGAGUCUGCAGUGGGAGCACGAGGUGCUGGAGCAGCGUUUCAUCAAGGUGCAGCAGGAGCGGGAUGAGCUGUACCGGAAGUUCACCGCCGCCAUCCUGGAGGUGCAGCAGAAGACAGGCUUCAAAAACCUUGUCUUGGAGCGCAAGGUGCAGGCGCUGAGUGCCGCCGUGGAGCAGAAGGAGGUGCAGUUCAGUGAGGUGCUGGCAGCCUCCAACCUGGACCCCUCGGCCCUGACCCUCGUGUCCCGCAAGCUGGAGGACGUCCUGGAGGCGAAGAACAGCACCAUCCAGGACUUACAGUACGAGCUGGCGCGCGUCUGCAAGGCCCACAACGACCUGCUGCGUACCUACGAGGCGAAGCUGCUGGCCUUCGGGGUCCCCCUGGACAAUGUGGGCUUCAAGCCCCUGGAGACGGCGGUGGUUGGACAGACGCUGGGCCAAGGCCCCGCGGGACUGGUGGGCACUCCGACGUAGCCCCUGCCUGGGCCCCCCCCGGAUGCCUCCCCCACGCACCAAGGAUAGCAGGAAUUGUUUGAUCCUGAAAGUCUUGUGAGAGGCAUGGUGAGGAGCAUAACCCCACAUAAGACGGCGGAGAAGAGGAGACUCAUUAUUUUUCACAUUUGGAAACUUAAUAUGGAUAGUCUCUGACUGUAUAAUACUGUUUUCCAUGUUGCUUGUUUGCUGGAUGAUUGUGUUUUCUUUGCAAAUGCCUGAGAUGCAGCCGAGGACUAAACCCAGGCUGGUUUCAGGAAGAUGCCUAAAUCCUCCUGGCCCCUCACCUUGCUGCCUUGGUGUCCAUUCUUCGUCAGAAUCCUCGGGGUCAUCCACCUGGGGUUUGAUGGCUUGCCUGCGGUGACACAUGAAAGCUGGCCGAGGGGCUCUGAGACCUGGAAAGAAGCCACCUUUCUGUCUUAACAGGGAAGAGCUGGAAGGAGGAACAAAGCACAGAGACAACGGGGAGCACACGGCAAGGUCAGGGCAGCCUAGUGGGAUGGGCUGGGAGAGCCUAAAGGCAAGAGGUGAGCCCUGCAUUGCCGGUGCCAGACCCACACCGACACGAAAGAAGGAUCUCCUGCGGGUCCCUUUCCACGCAGAAGGGAAAUGGGAGCAGGACGAAGCCACCUAAGAGAGAGCCGGACUAACACAGACGGAAGACCUGUUUCAGGUUGCCCGGGCUCAUCUGGGGCCGCCUUUCCUGUUACCUAUAGUGGUCAGCGCUUCAUAGUUCCUUUUCACAUUCCUGUAUCGGAUUUUUUCCCAUUCUCCCAUCUCUGUCCAUUCUUCCUUGGAGAAGUAUAUGGAAAUGUCUUUGAAAGCA